GAAGAGUGCGAACGUUAUCUGGAUAUUACUGGGCGUAAAAGGCGUACUAGAGCGCGAUUAUCAGUCAGAUGUGAAAUCCCCGGCUCAACCGGGGACCUGCAUUUGAUACUACUGGUCUUGAGUACGGAAGAAGAAAACGGAAUUUUGGUGGAACGGUGAAAUGCGUAGAUAUCAGGAAGAACACCGGUGGCGAAGGCGGCUUUCUGGUUCCAAACUGACGGUAAAGCGCGAAAGUGUGGGGAGCCAACCGGAUUAGAUACCCUGGUAGUUCCCCCCGUAAACGAUGGAUACUAGGUGUCGGGGGUAUCGACCCCCCCGGUGCCGCAGCUAACGCAUUAAGUAUUCCGCCUGGGGAGUACGGUCGCAAGGCUG
Molecule: ribosomal RNA, 372 nt
Filed under: uncultured bacterium
Lineage: Bacteria
Description: bacterial SSU rRNA
Rfam family: Bacterial small subunit ribosomal RNA
Source: RNAcentral